GAUGGACGCUGGCGGCGUGCUUAACACAUGCAAGUCGAACGGAAAGGCUCCUGCUUGCAGGGGUACUCGAGUGGCGAACGGGUGAGUAACACGUGGGUGAUCUGCCCUGCACUUCGGGAUAAGCCUGGGAAACUGGGUCUAAUACCGGAUAGGACCACAUUUUGGAUGGUGUGGUGGAAAGUUUUUCGGUGUGGGAUGAGCUCGCGGCCUAUCAGCUUGUUGGUGGGGUAAUGGCCUACCAAGGCGUCGACGGGUAGCCGGCCUGAGAGGGUGUACGGCCACAUUGGGACUGAGAUACGGCCCAGACUCCUACGGGAGGCAGCAGUGGGGAAUAUUGCACAAUGGGCGCAAGCCUGAUGCAGCGACGCCGCGUGGGGGAUGACGGCCUUCGGGUUGUAAACUCCUUUCGCUAGGGACGAAGCGCAAGUGACGGUACCUGGAGAAGAAGCACCAGCUAACUACGUG
Molecule: ribosomal RNA, 465 nt
Filed under: uncultured bacterium
Lineage: Bacteria
Description: partial 16S ribosomal RNA
Rfam family: Bacterial small subunit ribosomal RNA
Source: RNAcentral